This 298-nucleotide small nuclear RNA is filed under the name Nannospalax galili (Upper Galilee mountains blind mole rat). RNAcentral describes it as "7SK RNA (ENSNGAG00000008540.1)". It matches the Rfam family "7SK RNA". Rfam says of the family: 7SK was discovered as an abundant small nuclear RNA in the mid-70s but a possible function has only recently been suggested. Two independent studies have found that 7SK RNA binds the CDK9/cyclin T complex (known as elongation factor P-TEFb). Lineage: Eukaryota; Metazoa; Chordata; Mammalia; Rodentia; Spalacidae. The record is from Rfam by way of RNAcentral.
GGAUAUGAGGGAUCUGGCUGUGACAUUUCUUACUCCACUGAUCACCAGAAUUGAUUUGGCUGAUCUGGCUCCCUAAGCAGGUGACCCCUUCCUCCCUAAUGGCUCCAUGUGCUUCCCAUCUGAAAGCUGUAUGAAGAGGAUGACUUUCCCCAAUGGAGGGGGGGCUGUUCUUUGGUCCAGUGUUGAGGAAAAGUUGCUUUUCCUUGCUAGAGUCUUCAAACAAGCUCUCAAGAAAUACUGUGCCCAUAAUUGGAGAGGUCAUAAACGCUAAAGAUCCUAUUACUGCCACUUUCCUAAU